Molecule: long non-coding RNA, 4736 nt
Organism: Gasterosteus aculeatus aculeatus (three-spined stickleback)
Lineage: Eukaryota; Metazoa; Chordata; Actinopteri; Perciformes; Gasterosteidae
Source: Ensembl
AACAAAACUAAAAGUGCAUCAAUGCUGAGGUGCUUUUCAUCUACGGAAGUUCAACAGUCAACUGGAGUGUGACUGUGGAUUCACAAGGACGCCACUCGAGGCGGCGGCGGCGGCGGCGGCAGACCUUGGGUAGCUAUUGAACACCCGCGUUGGUGCUCCGCCCCCGGGUAGCGCCCUCAAAGACGUGCGCUUCACAAUCAAAGCCGGUUGAAAGGAUCUACUUUGCCAACUGAUACUUCCACAUGACGGCCUAAUGGCCUCCGGGGGCAGAAGCUACAAUCUGAGCCUGGAACAGAACAGCGAGUCGAUCUUCAGCGAGAAACGACGGAUACUUCAGCGUCAAAAAUAGAACAGUCUCAGAUUCCUUUUAAGAACGCCGGUGAUCGAUCCGAUCAGCAUCACGUUAAAGAGGUGGAGCUGGGGGGGCGGCUGGGUGGGGGUCUGGUGUAGACACUAAAGUGGCCCUAGAUGUGGGCCCCUCUACGUUGGCUUAAUGUGGCCCCCAUUACCCGGGGAAGAAAAGCCUUCGGUCCCCGUGUGGUCCCGUCUGUGUGCCUUUGGUCUGCUCAGGUGGGACGGGAACACCUCUACGGUGGGGGUCGGGGGGGUUGGGGGGGGGCGGCGUGUUGACAUGGGGAUUAUCUGUGAACUGGAGCCAACUUUUAAGCCUCUUUCCUUUUUGCCCGUCUACGUUGUGUCCCACAGAGAUAAUCACUUAAUUAAAUAUUGAUGAUAUUUCAAAGCGGAAGCUGGCAAUCGGACUUGUGGAAGGGCCGAACGCUCCGGGCGCCGGGUACUGAGUCAUAGCCGCUGCUUCAGGAGGAGAUAGAGGGGGGAGCUGGGUGGACACAGAGGGACAGCUAGAAGGGGAAAAAAACAGAUUAAAAAAAGGAGCCGAAAGGGGAGGAGAAGCCGGUGAAAAGCCGCUAGUAGAAGAAACAACGACAUAUAUUUGAAAGCUUACUGGCUGCUCUUGAAAGCAAAUGAUGAAUUUACAGCGGCGCAGCUAUGAGUUGUGCUUUGUAUCAUAUCCUAUCAUGCAUUUUUCAUAAAACCACUGUGGGACGAUUGGCUCCUCCCAGCACACCGUGGACACAUGGGAGCCUUUAGGUCCAUUAAGAGCGAGUGUGUGUGUGUGUGUGUGUUGGAAACGGAUGUUUGCUUCUAGGAAGGAUAUCCAAGGAGAAAGGGAGAUGCAUGGUGCAGAAUAAGUAAAAUACUCAACACACACACACACAGAAUAAGUCGGUUUCCAUCUGGUGAGGUUUACUUUCGAGUGAGAGCCUCACACGGGGGGGCGAUGAACUGAUGGAAAAGUGAAUAUUCCUUUGGUAGAAAUCUUCAGAUUACACGGCCCGUUAGAUCCCAGCGUCCCCGUAGGACUCACUAGCGCAGUGAGUCCGUUUGUGUGUCUCCUCGGCUUUGUGGAAGCACACGUGUGGCGUCACAGGCGUGUUGGUCAGGCGUGUGACAUUCGGAUCACCAGGUAGUAAAACUACAUCUGAUCUUCACAGCGGGACACAUUGACAGGCCUGUUGUCGGUGUUUAAAAAGGCCGAUUAAAGCAGCAGUUCAGCCCCAAAAGGACCUUGUGGAUAGAAACGACACCCGGAAGCUCUGAAAGAAAACUUUCCGGUGAAUAAAAGUCACUCGCAUGAAGUCUCGACUUAAUGACUUAGAAAGGGGAAAGUGUACAGAAAUGUAAAAAAAAACAAAAAAACGUUUGUUUGCAAACUCUCACACAACUUUGUGCAGCAUAAAAGAGUCUCGUUCGCUUCUCUCCAAACGCCUGCAGCUCCAACUACACAGAACAUUUGGGUUUCUGCAGCUCCACUUGUCUUUUUCAUAGUGUUCCACAUUAAAUAUGCUCAAAGUUGAGUUACACUUUUUGUGCUGAUAUUUUACUGCAGAGGUUUGUAAUAAAACACAGUUUACAUAUUCAAUGUAAGCACAGAAUGUUUCCUACCUUUAUAACACUAAAUCAAAUGCAAACAAACAUUAGUUCAUUAACAUGCAUCCGAUAGCACGAGUACAAUAAUCUAAAAAACUCUAAACAAGAUGAUCAAUAAUUUAUAUGUUGCCAUCUAACUUGUUUGAUCGGGUUCUCCGUGUCAUGUGAUCCGCUGCAUCACUUUACUUUAGGAACAAAUAUCCCGAGACGACCACAGAAAAGCUUUUAGAAACCACUGCGAUCCGUCGGGCAGCACGGCUUCCUCCGAUCAGCCAGAAGGUCUCAGCUCCUCACUGCUCCCCCCUACGGCCCCCCAGCCGGGCCCCCAGCCGGGACCCCAGCCGGGACCCCAGCGCUCCUGGGAUCAAACCAGCAGCCUGGUGAUGGAGACGUUGCAGGGACGGCGACACGCUGCCGACAGCGUGGGGGCUCAGACCUCGGGGGGCCGAGGAGGGCGGGACGUUAUAAGCGGACGGAAGGUGCUCCUUUAGGCGCAAAACAAGCAUCUGUGGAGUCACAUGACACGUUUAGCUGUUUAAGCACAUUUAACAAUGUUAAAUUUAACAUUUAAGCAACGCACAAACAGGAUGUGCUUGUGGACGCAGAUGACGAGGCUUGAUUUAGAUGUAAGACACACAGACAGACACACACACACACACACACACACACACAGUGUCCUAACCCCCUCCCCGCCCCAAGAGAGUGCCAGGAGCGAACCACUGGAUAAAAGCAAGCUUUUAUGAAGAUAAGGCAAGUUGCUGAGCGCGAUAAAAGGCUACGGAAGAUAACAGCGGUGUAAUGUGUGUGUGUGUGUGUGUGUGUGUGUGUGUGUGUGUGAACGUUUGCUAAUGGACGUGAUGACUCAUCAGUGAUGGGGGACGUUACAUGGAACAGGAGUUUAGUUCCAACAGACAGAAGGUUCAAAUUGCCAAACACGAACCCUCCACAAUGCAAAGGAGGGAUUUAAAUGAUUUCACAUUCAUGAAGUACAUUAGAACUUUAUAAAAGCCUCAUGAACAAAGUCAAAUGGCAAAACCAAAUUAUUAACUCAAACAUGUUAAGCAUUUAGAAAAUGAUUUGUGAUUCCUUUUAAAAUCCAUCCACGUGUAAUUGAAGCUUUUAUCGGUGAAUUCCACACAGCCGCGGCGUGGAAUGACCUCUACGUACACGGGGGCGUGGAAUGACCUCUACGUACACGGGGGCGUGGAAUGACCUCUACGUACACGGGGGCGUGGAAUGACCUCUACGUACACGGGGGCGUGGAAUACUUUGUUCUAACCCAGCAAAAGGUUGUGCGAAGGCCAUUAGUGCUCAUUACUCCAGUGUGAGCAGGUCUUCUCCUUCUGCAGCGUCACACCGUUCUUCAUGCAACCUAUCAGACCUCUCUGAGUCCUCGGGCUCCGCAAACAGCUCCAUUGAUAUCAUACCGGCUCUGCGGCACUUUCACGCUGCAGAGAAGCCAUGAAAAUAAUCUUGAAAAAGCUGUUGACAGUCUGGAUGAUGGUGAUAGUUAUCAUGCAAGUGGUCCAUGAAAGAAGCAAUCCGGCUGACUGCAUUCAUCUGGCAGCAAAACCAAUGAAGACAAAAACAAUAGCGGUGGGGGGGGACGGGGACACGACCAUCGACGCCUCGGAAAGAGAGAGUGUGGGGCAAUAACAUUGGUACAGCAGUAUUGGACUUCACUUCAUCCCCAUCAUGUGUUAAUGUCACUGUGAUGGUGUUGUGUGCUGCAAUUACCACCCACUCAUACAUCGCCCGGGCAGACGGGGACCCGAGCAGAUGCUGUCGCUAUGAAGACGGAUCACGGAGGCCUCAGCAUGUCCUCGUGGGCCGCAAUGCCGGUGUGCACGGAGACACACACACACACACAUAGAGUGCACGUCUUCUUGUGUUGUUUUCUUUGUGAUUGUGUGUCCAUGUGCACAUGCCAGAGUGCCAGUGCAGCUGUGUGUACUUAUUCAUUGUAACUCACUGUUUAUGCAGUGUGUGUGUGUGUGUGUGUGUGUGUGUGUCUGUGUGCAUCCUAUUGAUCAGACGUACCCGGGGUUCUGGAGGAAGGGCCCCACAUCAGCCCGCCUGUCGCCCAGGAAGGAAGGCUUCAGCCUGGGGAGACCAUGAUGCUGUGGCCCUGGGGGGGGGGCUGCAGGUCCAGAGGGGGGAUUCUAGCUGACAGUGAUACCAAUUAAAUUACUCCCAAAAAAAACCUGGAUAAGGGGAAUAAAAGUCUGGCAGAAAAGCCUGCAGGGGUUGGAACUGAAUUGAGGAUUCAUUUGAACGCCAGUGUUCGGCAGUGAUGAAGAUCAACGUGUUACGCGCUUCCCCUCCACCAACUGACCUCCACACCGCUGAGGAUGAAAACAUGUAUGACACCAUGUAUGACACCGUGCUCCACACAGAAGAGGAGGUUAAACGACGGUAGCGGGUUACUGGUGUCACGUCUUAGAUUGGUGGAGGAGAGAAGGUGCUGGAUCUUUUCUUCAGAACCAGAGACUGAGAUUGGAUUUGCUCUCACAGGUCUCAUUAAGCGCUCCUCUUUUUCUUUGAGGACGUUUGAUUUUUCCUGCACGUGCAACAUCUGUCAAGGGGAGAAUCCCAAACCUUCUUUGGAAACUGGACCGGGUCAUAAAAGCUACGAUGUUUUUGACAACGUGACUAAAUUAAUAUGAAAAGGGGGCAUUUUUUUCCCCCCCUCCUCGUGAUAUCGGGGGCAAAAUGAUAUUUCCGACGCUGGCCGUUGGUCCAUUUCCUCGUUGCAAAGGGGCUGAUGAUGCAUGAAGCUCCACUCC